AAAGGGAGACCUAAUUCGGGUAGAAGACGAAAAAAUAGUAGUCGAAACCAAGAAUCAAUCCCAAAAGGUCGGAACGAGGUAUGUGGCUUUCAAACUAGGUUCUGGGUUCAUAAAAGACCUGAAUCAGGAACAAGGGCUAUUAGCUCAGGUGGUUAGAGCGCACCCCUGAUAAGGGUGAGGUCCCUGGUUCGAGUCCAGGAUGGCCCACCUGUACAGGUGGCAAAAAGAAAGAAAAGAAGCGAGGAAUCAGCACCUUAUCUUACUGACAUAGUAAGAGAGAAUGCUGGCUCUGAGUAAAGAGUCCAGAGGAACCUUGAAAACUGCAUAGAGCUAGGUGAAAAAGCCAAAAAAGAAGACCGCAAG
RNAcentral lists this transfer RNA (363 nucleotides) under uncultured Microcystis sp. RNAcentral describes it as "partial 16S-23S ribosomal RNA intergenic spacer". The stretch from base 134 to 207 matches the Rfam family "tRNA". Lineage: Bacteria; Bacillati; Cyanobacteriota; Cyanophyceae; Chroococcales; Microcystaceae. The record is from RNAcentral.